RNAcentral lists this transfer RNA (69 nucleotides) under Rattus norvegicus (Norway rat). It matches the Rfam family "tRNA". From Rfam's summary of the family: Transfer RNA (tRNA) molecules are approximately 80 nucleotides in length. Their secondary structure includes four short double-helical elements and three loops (D, anti-codon, and T loops). Lineage: Eukaryota; Metazoa; Chordata; Mammalia; Rodentia; Muridae. The record is from Rfam by way of RNAcentral.
GGGGAUUUAGCUCAGCGGUACAGCACUUGCCUAGCAAGCGCAAGGCCCUGGGUUCGAUCCCCAGCUCCG